AGACACAGUCUUGGUGCACCGUGGACACGUUCUCUCGGCCAGCGCACCAGUACCAAGUUCGCGAAAUCUUCGGGCGACGCGGCAUGGGCACAUCACCCUCCCUCCCUCCUCCUCCACUUCGUCUUCCCCCCACCGAUCCAACGAGGCAGACAGGGAAACUUCCUCGCGACCCCGCCCCGCCGCCCACCUCCUCCCCCGCCUCGCCGAGGGAGGGGAUCGCCGACGCCGCCAUGGCCUCCACCUCCUCCAAGCACGCCAAGCACCGCCGGAUCGGAGAGGACGACGACGAGGAGGAGGAGGCCGAGGAGGAGCUCGGGCGAUUUGAUGAUUUCACCAUUGCUUCAUCUUGGGAGAGGUUUAUAUCUGAGAUAGAGGCAAUUUGUCGUCAAUGGCUAGCAGAUGGCUCAAAGAUCUUGAUGCAAAAAGGUGCAGAGACUGUGCCUUCCUUUGAAAACUUGUACAUGGUCAAGCGUGAACUGAAGCAUGGGAAAAGAGUCUACUGUAUGGAGUAUCAUUUUAGGAAAUCUGCAAAAGGCAAAUAUUCAUACUGGGAUGAUGAUACACAUAGUACACAACUAUCCUUUGGAGUAGAUGAGUUUCUGAUAAUUGCCCCCUUGAGUGCCAGCGGUGUUGUUCUUGAUGAUCCUGAAUCAACUAAGCUUUUGAGUUCUGUAGCAAUUGCAUUGUCUAAUUGUGCCAGCAAUUGGCCAGCAUUUGUACCUGUUCAUGACCCUUCGCGAAAAGCAUAUAUAGGAAUUCAAAACAUGGGAACUGUAUUUACUCGAAGAUUUGAAGCUGAUCGAAUUGGUAGCCAGGUCCUAUCCUCAACAGAUUUUCCAGCAAAGGUAAAGGUAAACUUCUCGAUGAAGCUUACCUACAGAACUCCUGAACAUGAUUAUGAUCAUGAGGAGACUUUGGAUUCUGAAGCUACCGAGUCAAUACCAGAAAGUGAAGUUGCAAGCCAACCCAGAAAACAAUGGGAUGAUGAUUGCCCUUGGGCAGAGUGGUACUCUGCCGAGGAUCCUAUUAAAGGUUUUGAGUUGACAACCAUUUGGGGAGAGAAAAUGUUUGAAGAGAGCUUUGAGAUGGCUGAGGUGGAAAAUGCUUCGUCGUUUGAUGCUGAUAGUUGGCUUCUUCAACCAGUGGUGUCACCAUACAUGGUUGAUGAUUCUAUUGGGAAGUUUGUUGGGUUUGCAUCCCAGCUACAUCUGCUAGUAAAUGCAUUUGAAUCGUCAGCAGAGGCACAAUUUUUAGAAGAUUUUGUUGCAGAUAAUUCAGGCCAAGACAAUUCAAAAUCUUCUGUUGCUGUGCCUCCACCAUCUGUCAUUGAUCGUGUUAUGAAAGAUCUUUUCAAUGAUGAGGCUGGAAACUCAAAUUAUGUGGAAGCAGAAAACAAGUAUGGUCGCGCUUUGAAAGGAGCACCUUCAGAUUCUCUCUUUGCUCAGUUCUGUUUACAUGCAUUGUGGUUUGGCAACUGCAAUAUACGUGCAAUAGCAGUCUUAUGGAUUGAUUUUGUGCGCGAAAUUCGUUGGUGCUGGGAGGAGUCAGAACGACUACCGAGGAUGAAAACCACUUCUAGCAUUGACCUCUCUGCUUGUGUAAUCCACCAAAAACUACAAAUGCUUGCGAUAUGCAUUGAGCGGAAGAAACCAUUGAAUCGUAAGAAGGAUACUGAUGAUGCACAUAAAGAAAAGACUUCAAAUAGCAUGGCACCUGAUAAAAUACGUAAAGGAUCAGCAGGCGCUGUCCCUUCAAUGAUGCUGAUAAAUACAUUUCAGGAAAUGCAUGCUCCAUAUACUCAGGAUGCACCUUUGAUGACAGAAGAUAUGCAUGAAGAAAGGCUCCAUGCAGCUGAAGCUUUUGGCAAUGCUGUUGGUUUAUCUGGUCAACUGGAAAGGGAUAUAUUAUCUUCCGAUAUGUCUGCUUUUAAAGCCGCAAACCCAGAUGCUGCUUUUGAAGAUUUUAUUCGGUGGCAUUCACCUGGUGACUGGGUGAGUGAGGACAAAAGUGAUGGUAAUCCAGCCUGGCCACCCAAAGGAAGGCUUUCUCAGCGUAUGUCAGAACAUGGGAAUAUGUGGCGCAAAAUUUGGAAUGAUGCCCCAGCUUUGCCUGUCUCUGAACAGAAAUCUCUGCUUGAUUCUGUUCGAGAAGGAGAAAAGGUGGUUCAUUACCUUGAAACUUUGAGGCCACAGCAGCUUCUUGAGCAAAUGGUCUGCACAGCUUUCAAAUCAUCAGCUGACAUUCUAAACAAGACCACAUAUGGUGGCUUCAAAUUAAUGAAGACUAAAAUGGAUCAACUAUAUGCUACAAUGGCGUCGACAUUAAGAUCUCUUCAAGGGAAAUCUGACACAAGUGAUUUGGCUGGAGAUUUGAAGCGACUUUGUCAAGUUUUUGAGCAUAUAGAGAAGUUGCUGAUUUUUGCUGCUUCGGUCCACCGAAAACUUAUAGAUGCUCCAAGACUGGCUCAAUCAAUUUUUACCGACUACUUCAAUUACUAUCUUCCAAAAAUGGGAACCAGCCUGGAAAGUAUUUGUUAUGAAAAGGAGUUCACUACUAAGGAAAAGGUGGGGAUGCUUGAAAGGGAGGCUGUAUCAAGCCUGUUUCGUCCCCCUACUGCCAAUCAGUCAUGGAGGAAAGUUUUGAGCAUGGGAAAUCUUUUGAACGGGCAUGAACCAGUACAAAGAGAGAUUGUAUUCUCAGUUCUGGAGAAACUAAGCAACGGUCACUAUUCGAGCCCAACUCCGUUAUCUACAGACGAACAGAUUGAGACACAUAGGAUGUAUAUAUCUGGUACAUCUAAUGAUCUCUGGGUUGCUUUAUCCGUGACAUCCUGGGACUGAGAUGUUCAUCAGACACAUGAAGAACAAUCAUAGGAGUUAGCCAGAUGUGUUGAUAUUGCAGAUCUAUCAAUUCCUGGGUUGAAGUUUGAGUGUACAAGAGAAGUGAUCCUUUGGCAUGAGAACAAUGGUGGUGGCUGAAUCGCAAAGCCAAUGUUGCGAGAAAAUUGAAGUGUCAAGUGUUGACUUGUUAUCGACGAAAAACAGUGUGAUCUGCAUGAGGUGGCAAGCAAUUGGAUUGUCCAGCGACCGGGAUUAAGAAGCCUGGACCAUCUUUCCUGAUGACGCAGUUGUAGCUUUUGUGCUUGUGGGCAUCUGGAGAUAAUCGGGCUGCCAAGCUCCCAUGUGAUACCAUGAUUUACAGUUGCCUGUAAGAACCGUUUGUACAAAGUCUUGUACAGAUUGUUUUGUUUACUCACCCUCAGUGGAGUAGUUAACUGUGGUUCCAAGUAUUACACCCCCUCCACUGAGGGUGAUGGCAUUUUGUCCAUUUUUUUAGUUGCACUAUAUCCAAAUUGAACAGUACGUAGUAGUAGAACUACAUAUGGCCGGUGGUGUUGCCUCGUGCCACUGUACAUCAUGGGGGUGAUGUUAUGAUCAAUGAUGGCGUU
This 3448-nucleotide ribosomal RNA is filed under the name Triticum aestivum (bread wheat). Its description in RNAcentral is "partial small subunit ribosomal RNA". Lineage: Eukaryota; Viridiplantae; Streptophyta; Magnoliopsida; Poales; Poaceae. The record is from RNAcentral.